CUACGGGGGGCACCAGUGAGGAAUAUUGCACAAUGGGGGAAACCCUGAUGCAGCAACGCCGCGUGGAGGAUGACGCAUUUCGGUGUGUAAACUCCUUUUAUGAGUCAAGAAAAUGACGGUAGCUCAUGAAUAAGCACCGGCUAACUCCGUGCCAGCAGCCGCGGUAAUACGGAGGGUGCAAGCGUUACUCGGAAUCACUGGGCGUAAAGGACGCGUAGGCGGGUUGGAAAGUCAGGUGUGAAAUCCUACAGCUUAACUGUAGAACUGCACUUGAAACUUCUAAUCUAGAGUAUGGGAGGGGGAGAUGGAAUUAGUGGUGUAGGGGUAAAAUCCGUAGAUAUCACUAGGAAUACCUAAAGCGAAGGCGAUCUCCUGGAACAUUACUGACGCUAAGGCGUGAAAGCGUGGGGAGCAAACAGGGUUAGAUACCCCAGUAGUC
RNAcentral lists this ribosomal RNA (439 nucleotides) under uncultured bacterium. RNAcentral describes it as "partial 16S ribosomal RNA". It matches the Rfam family "Bacterial small subunit ribosomal RNA", at positions 339 to 795 of the family's 1533-position model. The record is from RNAcentral.